Molecule: ribosomal RNA, 321 nt
Filed under: Sandonidae sp.
Lineage: Eukaryota; Cercozoa; Glissomonadida; Sandonidae
Description: SSU rRNA
Rfam family: Eukaryotic small subunit ribosomal RNA
Source: RNAcentral
GAUUUCUGGCUUGAAACACUAAGCCGGCCACGGUUUCGUGUGUUAGUGCUUGGUGUUCUGGCCAUCCUUCCAAUCGCUGCGUACUUCUCUUCAUUGAUUAGUGCGUAGUAUUGGAUCUUUUACUUUGAAAAAAUUAGAGUGUUUAAAGCAGGCUUGCGCUAUGAAUACAUUAGCAUGGAAUAAUAAUUUAGGACUUUGCUUCUAUUUUAUUGGUUUCUAGGAGUAAAGUAAUGAUUGAUAGGGAUAGUUGGGGGUGCUAGUAUUCAUCGGCCAGAGGUGAAAUUCUUGGAUUCGAUGAAGACUAACUAAUGCGAAAGCAUU